RNAcentral lists this ribosomal RNA (423 nucleotides) under Triticum aestivum (bread wheat). Its description in RNAcentral is "partial small subunit ribosomal RNA". The record is from RNAcentral. Lineage: Eukaryota; Viridiplantae; Streptophyta; Magnoliopsida; Poales; Poaceae.
AUGUACUCCUCCAGUGGUGGCAUGCCCCAUGGGCGACUAGCAAUAGGUGAUGGUGCUAUAAAGAAAGCAGUGGUCGUUGCAAAAGCUAGAGAGAAUGACACAAGGCCAUCAAACUCCAUAUCAUACCAUUGUUUAUUGAAGGAAAAUGCUCAACUUAAAAGGCGUUGCAAGAAUAAUUUUGUUCUGAGCAAACAUGUACAGGGGUUUUAUGGCAAGCUGGGAUGGGAAGUACCCGAAGAUCUUCCUUCCUACCAAGAUGAGCUGAUGGAUGGCGGUGAUCUGAUGAAUGAAACACCCCAAGCCCAAGAGGAUGGUGGUACUCCCAUGACAGAUUCUUCACAUGAUGAAAGGCAUGUUGAUGCUGGUACUCUGGAUGAUCAUGGUUCUGGUCCAACACAUGAAAAUCAUUUAGGAAUACCAUAG